Molecule: long non-coding RNA, 2883 nt
Filed under: Monodelphis domestica (gray short-tailed opossum)
Lineage: Eukaryota; Metazoa; Chordata; Mammalia; Didelphimorphia; Didelphidae
Description: lncRNA (ENSMODG00000033862.2)
Source: RNAcentral
AGCAGGCUGUCCCUAUCUCUUUCUUGUUCAAAAUUAAGAGUCAGACCUUGUAGUCUUUGUAAUCUUCUGAUACAUUGAGGGGAUCUCCCAACAUUCCAGAGAGACUUGUGUUUCUCCCUUAUAUUCUUCAUUCACCAACGUUACCCAAUAGUUUUCAUUAAUAAUGUUUUUAUUCUCUGCUCCUUCAAUAACUACACUCUCUCAAACCAGUGUCUUGCUCGGUUGCUCUCAGAUUUGAGACUCAUCAGAAAAGAGAUGAUAGAUAAAUUUAUGUGAGUUUAUGAGCACUUGAGUGAAAUCCCAUAGAAGAAGAGAAGAAGAGCCCAGUUCAAAACCUUGAAGGGCACCUACAUGAAGGACUUAAUUAAGAAUCCAGCAAAGGAGACUAAAACAGGAUAAUCAGAGAAGUCCUAGGACAACCAGGAUAGUUUUGUUAUGAAAAUUAGAGAAUUUGGGUAUCAAGGAGUGCAGAGAUCUUAAGAAGAAUGAGGAUUAAGAAGAAGGCCAUUAAGAGAUUUUUGCAAUUUCAUUUGAAUGAUGAAGUUGAAAACCAGACUGUAGUUCAAAAAAAAGAGUAGGAAGAAGGGAAGUAGAAGCACCUUUUAUAGAUAGCAUUUUCAAAAAUUUCAAUCCCAAAGGGAAGAGAGAGAUAGGAAAUGAUAGCUAUCAGGGAUAGAUGGAUAAAAUGAAGGCUGUUUUUCAUUUGGGGUUGAAGGAAAGCUGCCAGUAGAUGAGGAGAGUUUGAAAACAAAAUGAAACAACGGGAAUACUAGAGAGAUUCUCUGCUGGGUGAAGGAUGAAGUAAAGAGAGCACAUAUUUUGGCAUUUCCUUCAGAAUAUAUGGGGACAACAUAUUGUCCUUUCUACACCCACUCCUGUGGUUGAGAUAUAUGUUCUCAUCUGUUGUUCUAGGAAGUGAGGUUGGUGUAGGACCUGUCACCCAUAUCCCAGACCAUGGAGAACCAGGAAAAAUCAUGACAUCACUGACUAGUGGCCUCCUGAUCCGUGAAUCCCCUGUAUAUGCUAUAGAGAGUGACAUUGGUGUAGGGCCCUUCACCCAUAUCCCAGAACAUGGAGCACCUGGAGACAUGACAUCAGUGACCAGUGAAUCUACUGUAUGUGCCAUGGGAUUCUCUACUGAGACUUCAGGGACACUGAAGAAUGUGAGUGGAUCUGACCAGGGAAGAGAACCAACGAACUCCACCAGUAUCCCUAUGACUGACUUUAUCGGGAGAGAUUCCAUUGCUUACACUGAAACGGACAUACGUGUCAUGGAGACAACUCCAAGAGCCACAGCCACUCAAGACCCACUUCUCACUGUGCCCACUGGAGCAGGUGACCUCAUCCCUGGGAUGCACAGGAGAACUGUGUCCUCUCCCACCGAAACCUCAGUUCCAUCUGAGAUAUCCUCUGGAGUCACCAUUGCCAUUGCAAGGACCUCACUCUCCAUGACUCCAGUAGAAAUCACAGCUAGCCCCAGCUCCAGUGCUCCCUUAAACAUCAGCCUAAGCACAAGAACAGCUUCCCUUGAGCCUGCUACUUCGUUGGAGGACCCAGGGCCAGCCGGCCUGACUCCAGAAACUGAGAGAAACCCACAGGCAACACCAACUCCAGCUAUCACCCUGCCUCCAGCCAGCACACAGGAAGUUUGCACAACAGCAUCUCCCAGUCCUCCUGACACAACCACAGAGGGCAGCAGUGUCCAGGCAGGGACAGCCUCUGUUUCUGAUCAGGUGCCUUCCACUUCCAGCCUCUUCCCAAGAGGUGAUGCUGGUGUGGUGCCAGACACACAUGCCCAAGGCCAUGAUGCACCAGGAAGCACAGUAGCACCAAUAAGGAGCUCCCUCACCCCUGUGUCUACUAUUAUUCCCACAGGUAAGUAGGUACCUCCUCUCUGUCUCUGUGUUGGAGGUUUAUCCUUUUUAGGGCCUUGUUUCCCAAUCUUACAGAGGAAACAUGAAAUUAUUUUAGAGAUCAAUCCUCAAGAACUCUUCUGAACCUCUGAUUCCUUUCUAUGUAUAGCCUGGAGAAGAGAAGUUUUAGAGGUAGGAGUGAGAUUCCCACUGCUAAGGUCUUUUAUAUAAGCAACCAUAGGUAUAAAGUUGGAAGGAAACUUUAAACCAUCAGGUAUUAUGGAUAGCCUCUCAUUUUACUGAUGUGGAUACUGAGGUUUAGAGAAGUAAAGUAAUUAGCUCAGGGUGACCGGAUAUGACUGGAAAGGACCCUUAAAGGUCAUCUAGCUGGAUCCCAUCUUUUUACAUAUUGGAAAAUUGGGGUGGAGAGAAGUUAUGUGACAUGCCCUAUGACACAAAAGUAGAAAGCAGCAGACGUGAGAUUUGAACCUAGGACUCUAUUAUGCUGUAUUUCAAGGUCAAGAGGAGAAGUCAGCCCUAACACCUCACAUUGAAUGGCUUCCACUUUGGGAAAGAUUCCUUCUAUGAACUCUCCCAAGUUCAUAGCAGAGAAUGUGUUUUUACAUUCUUAUUUACAUCUUCAGUAUUUAGGAUAGAGCUGGGCACAUGAUAAAUACUUAAUUAAUGGAAACUAAUUGAUUGCUUUGAUCUAAUGAGUAGAUUUGUGAGAUUCAGUUUAUUAAAAAAAUUUGUCUUAAAAAUGUAUCUUAUACACCUACAAACUGAACUUGCCUAUGGAAAAGUGAAGGAGAAUGGAAUAAGCAAUUACGUAACACCUACUAUGUGCCAGGCACUUUGACUAAGCAUUUUUUAUAGAAAUAGUAUCUCAUUUGAUCCACAGAACAACCCUAAGUGUUGGGCUUUAUAGUUAGCCCCAUUUUUCAGAUGAGAAAAAGAUGCAAGCAAUGACUGCUUGACUUUCCCAGGGUCAUACAGCUAAUGAGUUCUUAGGUCACAUUUGAACUCAGGU